GUGAUUAAUACCCCAUAGUAGCUCCCUCGCAUGAGGUAGCUUUAAAGGUUUACUCCGCCUAGGGAUUGGAAUAUGUUCUACUAGUUUGUUGGUGAGGUAAAGGCUCACCAAGACGAUGAUAGAUAGCUGGUCUUAGAGGAUGAACAGCCACAAUGGGAUUGAGAUACGGCCCAUAUUCUUACGGGAAGCAGCAGUAGGGAAUCUUCCACAAUGGACGAAAGUCUGAUGGAGCAAUGCCAUGUGAACGAUGAAGGCCUAUUUGGUCGUAAAGUUCUUUUAGAGGGGAAGACUUUGACGGUACCCUCUGAAUAAGUGACAGCAAACUAUGUGCCAGCAGCUGCGGUAAUACAUAGGUCGCGAGCGUUAUUCGGUUUUAUUGGGCGUAAAGCAAGCGCAGGCGGAUGAACAAGUUCUGUGUUAAAAGCAGCUGCUCAACAGUUGUUUGCACCGAAUACUGUUCGUCUAGAAUGUGGUAGGAAGUUUUGGAAUUAAAUAUGGAGCGGUGGAAUGUGUAGAUAUAUUUAAGAACACCAGAGGCGAAGGCGAAAACUUAGGCCAUCAUUGACGCUUAGGCUUGAAAGUGUGGGUAGCAAAUGGGAUUAGAUACCCCAGUAGUCCACACCGUAAACGAUGGGUAUUGGAUGUCGGGCUUUGUGGCUCGGUGUUGUAGCUUACGUGUUAAAUACCCCGCCUGGGUAGUAUAUAUGCAAAUAUGAAACUCAAAGGAAUUGACGGGGACCUGAACAAGUGGUGGAACAUGUUGCUUAAUUCGAUAAUACACGAAAAACCUUACCAGGGUUUGACAUCCCUUGCGAAACCGUGGAAACACGGCGGAGGUUAUCAAGGUGACAGGUGGUGCAUGGUUGUCGUCAGCUCGUGUCAUGAGAUGUUUGGUUAAGUCCCGCAACGAGCGCAACCCUACCCCUUAGUUGUUUGUCUAAGGAGACUGCACAGUAAUGUAGAGGAAGGAUGGGAUCACGUCAAAUCAUCAUGCCCCUUAUGCCCUGGGCUGCAAACGUGUUACAAUGGUAGAUACAAUAUGUCUGC
Molecule: ribosomal RNA, 1047 nt
Filed under: uncultured Mycoplasma sp.
Lineage: Bacteria; Bacillati; Mycoplasmatota; Mollicutes; Mycoplasmatales; Mycoplasmataceae
Description: bacterial SSU rRNA
Rfam family: Bacterial small subunit ribosomal RNA
Source: RNAcentral